AAUUGCCUUGGGUCCUGCCGCACAGAGCGGCCUGUCUUUAUCAGAGGUCCCUCUGCCCCGGGGAGGGCCCCAGAGAAAACCAGAAAGAGAGUGAGAGACUGAGGAAGAUAAAGCAUCCGAGAGCCUCCCACACCAGCGCCUGAGCAGGAAGGGGGAGGGGCUAUGACUACGAGGCCCUGGGAGGUCACUUUAAGGAGGGCUGUCCUAAAACCAGGAGCCUCGAGCAGAAAGUGAAACCCUGAUGCUCCAGACAAAGAUCUUAGUCAGGACUAGCCGGCCAAUGAUGAAUCCUCAGUUCAGGUGUAUUUCGAGCUUAAGAACCACCCAGAGAUGAGAUUCUUCCACUGGUUCAGCAAGUGGAGGACGCUGCAUCGUGACCAGGAGUGCGAGGUCACCUGGUACAUGUCCUGGAGCCCCUGCACAAAGUGUACAAGGAAUGUGGCCACGUUCCUGGCCGAGGACCCGAAGGUUACCCUGACCAUCUUUGUUGCCCGCCUCUACUACUUCUGGGACCCAGAUUACCAGGAGGCGCUUCGCAGCCUGUGUCGGGAAAGAGACGGUCCGCGUGCCAACAUGAAAAUCAUGAAUUACGACGAAUUUCAGCACUGUUGGAACAAGUUCGUGUACAGCCAAAGAGAGCUAUUUGAGCCUUGGAAUAAUCUGCCUAAAUAUUAUAUAGUACUGCACAUCAUUCUGGGGGAGAUUCUCAGGUGAGGGUCUCCCUCCAGGCUCAUCGCCUGGCUCCUCUCACCUCCUGCUCAUCCUCUUGAGGCUUCUCCUCUGUCCCAGACCAGGUCCUCUCCUGGCCAGGC
This 812-nucleotide small RNA is filed under the name Pongo abelii (Sumatran orangutan). RNAcentral's name for it is "retained intron". The record is from RNAcentral. Lineage: Eukaryota; Metazoa; Chordata; Mammalia; Primates; Hominidae.